RNAcentral lists this non-coding RNA (45 nucleotides) under Schistosoma mattheei. Lineage: Eukaryota; Metazoa; Platyhelminthes; Trematoda; Strigeidida; Schistosomatidae. The record is from RNAcentral.
AUCCAGCUGACGAGUCCCAAAUAGGAUGGGACACGUAUCCUGGAU